Long non-coding RNA from Symphalangus syndactylus (siamang), 718 nucleotides. RefSeq lists it as uncharacterized. The record is from RefSeq and is a predicted model, not a curated record. Lineage: Eukaryota; Metazoa; Chordata; Mammalia; Primates; Hylobatidae.
GCAUUGGUCCAACUUUCCACUGAACCCAGAGUUCUGGAGAUGGACAGAUGAUCAAACAGAUGCAGAUGGAGCGAAGUUCAGGAGUUGCAGAUUCAAGGAAGGUCCCAGUUCCUCUGGGAAUCGUCCUGUAUGCAACAUCUUCACAAGGGUGGCAGGCAGUUGAAUCUCUGGCCUUCGUGGGACCACUGGACAUCUGGCAGAGAACCAGGAAACCACAGUUCCCUUCUGUGAGUCCACUCAGCCGGAAAACUACAAGAAUGAAAAAAAUGCAUGGCAUACAUCACCAAGAAUCAAAGGUUGUGCCUGGCAGUGUAAUUGACUCUGUAAUAAAGAGAGAAGCUUCACUAGCUCCCGAUGCAGCUGCUGUCUGCAGACCCCCUGGACUGCCUGGGGAAGUGAGUCGGAGCUCCUGCAGCAGAGGAGUGGAACGAAGAGCCGAAGGUGGCCAAAAAUAACAGCGCUUUCCAGAUGAGGGAGCCAGUUGUCCAGCACAGUGUCAUGGGACAGUGGGCCCUGGUGCCACAAUGCCUGGCAUCUCCACCAGAUACAGCUUUGAGAUCUUCAUGAUGAAGCUUGCUCCAAUCCAAGGGCUGUCAGAAACAAGAACAUUUGGAAUAUCUUUAUCUUUUGAUGUGCCUGGAAUGACCUGCCAUCGACAGACCCUUCCCUGGCUUCAAGGCUCUGGAAAAUAUCAAUGUGAAAUUUAGUGAGAGGCUUC